This 2589-nucleotide small RNA is filed under the name Caenorhabditis elegans. Its description in RNAcentral is "Unclassified non-coding RNA Y11D7A.23". Lineage: Eukaryota; Metazoa; Nematoda; Chromadorea; Rhabditida; Rhabditidae. The record is from RNAcentral.
GGUUUUGGAUGGAACUAACCCCCAGACGUCAUGAACUUCUCAGCACAUAUCUUCUCGGAAUUGGAACUCUCUUUUUAUACACCGGAUACUCACUUCAACAGUUUAUCGGAGAAUCUGUCAUCCACUCAAUUCAUGAAAAGUCACCGGACACCAUUUCCGCUUAUGCUGGAUACUAUGGGUUAGUUUUAGUAUUAAAAUAAUUAAACAUGAGUUUUUUUUCUUUUCAGAGCAGCCUUUCACUUAUCAGCAUUUGCAGUAUUUUCUCUCAUCACUCCUUCCCUUCAACACUUUGUCCCAAGUAAAUGGUUCCUGACACUGGCUUCUGCACUUUUUGCAGUUUAUUAUCUUGGAUUUUUUCAAUUGAAUAAGUACUACUUCUACUUGACACAAGCUCUUAUGGGAGUUGGAUAUUCAUGUAAGCCACUUUUUGAAUAGGAUAAAUAUAAUUGUGACGUGUCUAGAAUCUGAUAAAUUUACAGUUUAUAACAAUGGAGAAGGACAAUAUCUGUCCGAACAUUCUUCUCGAAGAACGAUUGAAUCAAAUACUGGAAUUGAGACUGCAGUUGGGCAUGCAAGCAUGUUUUUCGGAGGAAUUGCACUUAUCGUUCUAUGCUUUUUGUUACACACAGAUGGUGGUACUGGAAUUGAGUACUCGGAUUUGCAGAUUAGGUAUGCCUUCUGAAAUUUAACAUUUUGAUUUUUUUGUUAGAAGUUGUUAGAAAAUUCCACUAGGGUGCGCUCCGCCACACAGAUGCCUGAAGGGCGAGUGAGAGGCAUAAAGUGAAUGGUUAUAUUCUAGUUAAAACUCGGAAUUUCAGAUUUAUCUACGGAACCAUGUUCAUUUUGAAUAUCUUCUCUGUCAUUGUGUUUGCAUUUCUACCAACAAAACAAUAUGACUCAAUUGCUUCCAAAUCUUCAACUGUUGUACCAUCUUUUGCUAAUCAAAUUAGUGAGUUUUUAAUAUUAAAAAUAAUAGAAAAUCAUUUUGAAAAUUUACAGAGCAACUUCUCAAAGCAUUUCAAUCAACAAAUUUGCUGAUCUUAAUGCCAUUCUUCUUUUUCCAAGGAUUUGCAGUUUCAUUCUUAAUGACUGUAUAUCCAACAACACUUUCAUUUACUCAUGCAUUCAAAACUGAUAUUUAUAUUAUUGGAAUUUAUUCGGUUUCAAUGGGGUUGGCUGAAGCAAUUGGUAAGUUCAGACUUACCUACUCGUGUGAAUUUAUUAAUUCAAAUACUUUGGAUUCAACGUGAAAAUCAAAUCAGUAUAAUUUAACUAAAUUAAUAUAAUUUUAAAAAUUCGAAAAAUUCGCUUAAAAAUUUUUACCAAGUUAUUGGAUUUGUCGCCAAUUUCUUAUCUAAAUUUUCUAGACAAAGAAACACAUACAGUAGUAAAUUUGUUCAGCAGUAUCUUUUAAUUCACUUCUAUACUUAUCACAUUAACCUUAACUCUACUUUGAAAGAAAUUCACUGCAAAAUCCAAACAAUGUUUUCCAUUAAAAAUCUUCUUGCUUUCCACUUGGUUUGCACAUGAUUUUUUUGCAAAAAACGAUACAGUAUGCACUCGUUUACAAAAAUUCGUGUUCGUUGGUCGAUCGGUAUCUUUCGAUGUUUUUGAGCGUAUCAUAUUAGUUUUGAAAUAUGAUUUGGUCAAUGAAAGAAGGUCUACAUAAAUUUAAAAUAUAAGCAAGUUAUCUUGAAUAGUUGUAAAAAAUCUGCCCCUCAAGUUUCAAACUUCUCAUAUAUAUGUUCCAAGCUCCAUGUAAAGCUGUUGAACAUUUUAACUUUUAUAGUAUUUCUCAAUCAUAAUUCAGACCACUUCAAACAUUUUUUCAGGUUAAAAGAGUAAUUCUUUAAAUCGUUAUUUCAGGUGGUAUCUUCUUGCGCCCAUUGCUCAAAAGAGCCGGUGAUUAUGGUCUCUAUGUGACCGCUGGAUUCAAUUUUCUCUCAUACUCAGUUGUUAUCAUUUUGGCUUUUCUUUCAAUUCCAAAUCUUUCAACCUUUGGUCCAACCAGUUCACCACCAAUAUUUCUCACUCCAAGGUAAGGGUUAUCUCAUUUUAAAAUCAAAACAAUGUCCUAAUUUGAUUGAUAACCGUAGAGAAUCAUCGGUGAAUUGAUAAAUUGCAAUGACAUUUUGAUAAUGUUUCAUGGAGGUUUUUUAUCACUUCAUAACUUGAUUGAUAACCAAAGCUACCCAAAGAUUUAAGUUUCAUAAAAGAAUCCAGGGGGAAAUCACAUGAUUGUACUACAAGGUGGUAUUCUUUGUAUUUUGAAUAAUCUACAGUACUUUAAUAAAAUCGUAACUGAUCUGAUAAAAGAUUGUGAUAAGUGCCAAAGUGUAUUUUUUGGAAACAAUGACAAAUUGGAAAUUUGAAACAUUUUUUUCAAAAGUUCAAAUGACAAAAAGAAAAUUGAGGGACCGUACAGCCUGGCUGCCAACUGUAUCUAUUUUCAGUCGUCUUCUCGUCUUCAUCAUUGGAUUUUUGAUCGGAUUCUCUGAUUUCUGUGUGACAAUGGCUCGUGCUGUCAUUUGCCAAGUCGCUGUUCCAGAUUGUCGUAUGCAGGUCUUCUCUCUGUCAAAACUUUAUCAG